RNAcentral lists this ribosomal RNA (253 nucleotides) under uncultured bacterium. RNAcentral describes it as "partial 16S ribosomal RNA". It matches the Rfam family "Bacterial small subunit ribosomal RNA", at positions 524 to 776 of the family's 1533-position model. The record is from RNAcentral.
UACGUAGGGGGCAAGCGUUGUCCGGAAUUAUUGGGCGUAAAGAGCGUGUAGGCGGCCCGGUAAGUCCGCUGUGAAAGUCCAGGGCUCAACCCUGGGAUGCCGGUGGAUACUGUCGGGCUCGAGUCCGGAAGAGGCGAGUGGAAUUCCUGGUGUAGCGGUGAAAUGCGCAGAUAUCAGGAGGAACACCGAUGGCGAAGGCAGCUCGCUGGGACGUGACUGACGCUGAGACGCGAAAGCGUGGGGAGCAAACAGG